RNAcentral lists this ribosomal RNA (484 nucleotides) under uncultured bacterium. RNAcentral's name for it is "partial 16S ribosomal RNA". It matches the Rfam family "Bacterial small subunit ribosomal RNA", at positions 29 to 507 of the family's 1533-position model. The record is from RNAcentral.
AUUGAACGCUGGCGGCAUGCUUUACACAUGCAAGUCGAACGGCAGCGCGGGCUUCGGCCUGGCGGCGAGUGGCGAACGGGUGAGUAAUACAUCGGAACGUGCCCAGUAGUGGGGGAUAGCUCGGCGAAAGCCGGAUUAAUACCGCAUACGACCUGAGGGUGAAAGCGGGGGAUCUUCGGACCUCGCGCUAUUGGAGCGGCCGAUGGCAGAUUAGCUAGUUGGUGGGGUAAAGGCCUACCAAGGCGACGAUCUGUAGCUGGUCUGAGCGGACGACCAGCCACACUGGGACUGAGACACGGCCCAGACUCCUACGGGAGGCAGCAGUGGGGAAUUUUGGACAAUGGGCGAAAGCCUGAUCCAGCAAUGCCGCGUGUGUGAUGAAGGCCUUCGGGUUGUAAAGCACUUUUGGCGGGAACGAAAAGGACUGUGCCAAUACCACGGUUCGAUGACGGUACCCGCAGAAUAAGCACCGGCUAACUACGUG